Molecule: ribosomal RNA, 772 nt
Filed under: Morchella esculenta
Lineage: Eukaryota; Fungi; Ascomycota; Pezizomycetes; Pezizales; Morchellaceae
Description: partial large subunit ribosomal RNA
Rfam family: Eukaryotic large subunit ribosomal RNA
Source: RNAcentral
GGCGAGUGAAGCGGCAAAAGCUCAAAUUUUAAAGCUGGCAUCUUCGGUGUCCGCGUUGUAAUUUUGUGAGGCAUCUCCGGGUGGGGCGCCGGCCUAAGUUCCUUGGAACAGGACGUCACAGAGGGUGAGAAUCCCGUGCUUGGCUGGCUGUCCCCGUUCAUGUGAGGUGUCUUCGACGAGUCGAGUUGUUUGGGAAUGCAGCUCAAAAUGGGUGGUAAAUUUCAUCUAAAGCUAAAUAUUGGUGGGAGACCGAUAGCGCACAAGUAGAGUGAUCGAAAGAUGAAAAGCACUUUGAAAAUAGAGUUAAAAAGUACGUGAAAUUGUUGAAAGGGAAGCGCUUGAGACCAGACUUCGGUAAGGAGUGAUCAGCCGUCCUUCUGGGCGGUGCACUUGCUCCCCUCCGGGCCAGCAUCGGUUGAGGCGGCGGGAUAAAGGUCCCGGGAAUGUGGCUCCUUCCGGGGAGUGUUAUAGCCCGGGUGAAUGCCGCCAGCUUCGACCGAGGACCGCGCCUUCAGGGGUUGAUAUGCUUGGUAUAGUGCUUCUCCGACACGUCUCGUGACACAGACAACAGAGACUCUAAUCUCUACGAGUGUGUGUGUGUGUCACACUUGCGCGCGAUGUGAGUGAAAAGAGAUGUGAGAACGCACGGGGCACCAUCUACAGGUCCUGAGAUCUCCUCUGAGAUAUCAGAAUGAGAACAUAUCUUUGACACGAAAGAUAUGGAAAAUAUGUGAGAAUGGUGAAACCCAGAGGACUCUCGUGUGAGACUCUC